Molecule: long non-coding RNA, 3157 nt
Organism: Hyla sarda
Lineage: Eukaryota; Metazoa; Chordata; Amphibia; Anura; Hylidae
Exons: 3
Source: RefSeq, a predicted model, not a curated record
GCUAAGACUGCGCAUGCGUGUUCGCCAACCACCUGUAUGUUGCCAGCCAGCAGUGUAUACUUCCGGUAUGGGCGUGUUCGCCAACCACCUGUAUGUUGCCAGCCAGCAGUGUAUACUUCCGAAGGAAGGUUUUGACCUGCCUGAAAGCGCAUUUAACCAGGUCCACAGCUACAGCAUGGGCUGUAUACAUUUCACUUCAAGAGAUCUGCAGUGCAGCUACAUGGUCAUCUCCGUCCACCUUCAUAAGACAUUAUAGACUGGACAUAGCAAGAAGCCCAGCCCUUGAUGAACUGUGUGGAGAACAAGGCUCUUUCUGUAGAUGACCAGAUCCUGGAAACUGCGAGUACUGAUAGAUGAGAUGAGCAGUCCAGCCUGUCCCUGAGGUGUCUAGUAAGAAUGCGCCAAGAAUCUUUCAAGAAAGCUCCAUCCUUCACAGAGCUCCCCCAAUUAGGGAUCAACGGAUGUUUACUGAUUAAACUCAACCUGUCUAGAUGAAACAAAAACUGCCUAUUCCAGAAUUUGAAGACCCUCCUCUUAAGGGGUCCUAAAACGCCAGAAGGCCAAAGAACCUCAUCAAGUGUAAUUUGGACCCGAGCCAUCUGUCUUCUUGGAUAUGAUUCUUUCUCUCUGGAAUGACGAACAACCUCAUAUCCUGGGCAUCCAUGACAAAUUCCAGGAAUCUUCUCACAAUGGCAGGAGAGAGUUGUGAUUUAUCCAAAUAGAUGAUCCAGGAAAUUACAGAAGAGCAUUCAGAUCUAGGCCUCAUGAUAAUGGUUAAUACCUAUUGAUAUCUGUUGGACUCCCAGGAGUGCACUUAUAGCGUCAAAAGUCCUGAUGAUUAGAGGUGGAGCUCUUCUGAAGUUGUUAGUGCCCGUUCCCUAGUAACAAAUCUGCCUGGACCUGAUAGGAUCUUUCCUCCCUCUGGUGCCUCCAAAAGGAAACUAGAAUAGGGUUUCCCAAGCAGGGUGCCUCUAGCUGUUGCAAAACUACCUUUGGCUGCCCAGGCAUGCUAGGAGUUGUAGUUUUGUAACAGCUCUAGGCACCCUGGUUGGUAAACAUGGACCUAGGAGAUUGAGGAAAGAACAUGCCCUUCUUGUCAGCACCUAAAGUAAAGAGUCAAGUUCCAGGCAAAGUCUCCUAGUGACAUCACUCUAGAUCAGACCUGCUUAAAGGAAAACGGUCACCCGUUUACCCACCCUAAACCCAAUACACUGGGUUAUAGUGCAGGUGAACAGGAGACUGAUGCAGGGUCUGACAUAUACUGUACAUACCUGCAAUCCAGCACCUGCUCCUCUGAAGAUCCUCUUCUUUCUUCUCUAAAUUGUGUGCUGGAGGCGGGCCCGUCGGCUGGAUUUGAAUAAUCAUGAUCGCAGGUCAAAUAAGCACUCACGUGACCAUCCACACUAGGAGCAUGGGGACGACUGACUUAGUCUAGCUCUCUACCUUGGUUUUACAGCCAAGGAGUAUGUUACCAAUUUAAUAGAGGACUGAACUAAUUAAUUGAUAAGGAGUUGCUCCAAGUCAGAAAACUUAUGGCGACAGGCAGUAUCGGUGGUGAAGGGUCAUAUUCCCUGCAGGUCAAAUACUUCCACUUAAAGGUCGCCUUACAACCACCAGAGCCCUGACCACCAAAAUCCAGAGAAGACACUUGGAAGAAAAAUCUAUAUUAGAAUGGAGCAAGCCAAAAAAGGAAGUGAGGAGGAGAAACCCCAGCUUGCCUUAAAGUCAACUGGUGCCAGAAAGUUAAACAGAUUUGUAAAUGACUUCUAUUUAACCCUUCUUAACCCUUCCAGUAUUUAUCAGCUGCUGUAUGCUCCACAGGAAGUUCUUUUCUUUUUUUAAUUUCUUUUCUGUCUGAACACAGUGUUCUCUGCUGACACUUCUGUCCAUUUCAGGAACUGUCCAGAGCAGGAUAUGUUUGCUAUGGGGAUUUGCUCCUACUCUGGACAUACAUUGACCUGCAGUGCAUUUUGUAAUAUUUCUUGAUUUGAGCUUAAAUGGGCACUGUCAGAUACAAAAACUUUUGAUAUGUUGUAAAGCAUGUAGAACCAAUAGGUGUGGCAAUUGCUUUCAUCAGAAAUUUUUCAGUAUUUCAUACUGAAAAAGCCAGUCAAACAACUGCCCCCGUGCCGGCUUGGACACAUACUAGUCCUGCUGUGUCCAUGCAUCAUCACCUACAUCAUGGACCCACUUCCUUGAUUGACAGCUGUGAGCACAGGGCUCACAGCUCGAGGUAAAAUCCUCCCACUGUCAGCUUGUGUCCCGCUACUGUCAGUGAGGACAAGCUGGGAGUUGUAGUUUUGCUAAUGCUAGGUGAGAUGCGAGUAGACAGCAUACUGAGGGAGGUGGCGGAGACCUGCACAGUGAGGCCACGCCCCCUCUUUGAGAGGAAUUCUGACUAGUGAGCUAUUUAAAUUGUGAUAUAUUAAAAAAAUGUUUUUUGUUGGAUCUGACAGGUACGCUUUAAGCUUUUCAGAUUUAAAGGGGUACUCCUUUGAAAAACUUUUUUUUUAAAUCAACUGGUGCCAGAAAGUUAAACAGAUUUGUUAAUUACUUUCAUUUAAAAAUCUUAAUCCUUUCAGUACUUAGCUGCUGUAUGCUCCACAUGAAGUUCUUUUCUUUUUGAAUUUCUUUUCUGUCUGACCACAGUGCUCUCUGCUGACACCUCUGUCAAUGUCAGGAACUGUUCAGAGCAGAAUAGGUUUGCUAUGGGGAUUUGCUCCUGCUCUGGACUGUUCCUGACAUGGACAGAGGUUCCAUAAAUACCUGUGGGUGAGGAUAUUUCAAUUGGUUAGUCAUAUUAAAAGUUUCAUGGAGGGGCAUUUACUAAGGGGUUUAGUCAGUUUUUUCUGACUAUUUUUGGCGCAAAAUUGUCGCAAUUGCGCCUACCCUAUAAAUUGUGCGACUUUCCCUAGCAAGAGCUAGAAAGUCAAAUUUUUUUUCCCGCUUAAUUUAUGCAAGUUUUCAGUUUUUACUUGCAGUGGUCAGGAAUUUAUUAACUGAGACAGUCGCAGUUGCGCAAUAAACUGUCGCAAAAGCCGUAAAAAUUGACUAAAUUUACUCCAGCUCCAACAUGGAGCAGGAAAAGCUACUGCCGCCCGGGCUCCGACAUACUUUCUCCCCGCUACCCUCAAUGCGCUACCGGGACACUACAGUG